CAGUCGCCGCGGUAAUACAGAGGGUGCAAGCGUUACUCGGAAUUACUGGGCGUAAAGCGUGCGUAGGUGGUGGUUUAAGUCCGUUGUGAAAGCCCUGGGCUCAACCUGGGAAUUGCAGUGGAUACUGGGUCACUAGAGUGUGGUAGAGGAUAGUGGAAUUUCCGGUGUAGCAGUGAAAUGCGUAGAGAUCGGAAGGAACAUCUGUGGCGAAGGCGACUAUCUGGGCCAACACUGACACUGAGGCACGAAAGCGUGGGGAGCAAACAGGAUUAGAACCCCGGUAGUCCCUGUCUCUUAUACA
This 301-nucleotide ribosomal RNA is filed under the name uncultured bacterium. Its description in RNAcentral is "partial 16S ribosomal RNA". It matches the Rfam family "Bacterial small subunit ribosomal RNA", at positions 509 to 808 of the family's 1533-position model. The record is from RNAcentral.